GGCCUUAGCGCGGUGGUCCCACCUGACCCCAUGCCGAACUCAGAAGUGAAACGCCGUAGCGCCGAUGGUAGUGUGGGGUCUCCCCAUGCGAGAGUAGGGAACUGCCA
This 107-nucleotide ribosomal RNA is filed under the name Escherichia coli. Lineage: Bacteria; Pseudomonadati; Pseudomonadota; Gammaproteobacteria; Enterobacterales; Enterobacteriaceae. The record is from RNAcentral. RNAcentral also lists the same sequence under 1 other name.